This is a long non-coding RNA of Poecilia latipinna (sailfin molly), 250 nucleotides long. RefSeq lists it as uncharacterized. NCBI's taxonomy places the organism in Eukaryota, Metazoa, Chordata, Actinopteri, Cyprinodontiformes, Poeciliidae. The transcript has 2 exons. The record is from RefSeq and is a predicted model, not a curated record.
AGCCCUGUUCUUUGUCAGCUCAGGGAGAAUUUAGCGGUGAUGUGUAAGAGAAUGAGAAACAUGAGAACAGACAGCAUCAGGACUUUUAAGAUCCAAGAACCUGUCAGAUCCUCUGAGGACACAACCGCACCCAUUAAAGCAACUCGAGGCUUUUAGGUGCAACAGAAGGUGAUUCAACCCAACCUUUGCGUUUACCAAACGGUCGGAGAUGCCUUCAGGAAAUUCAUGAAGUAAAACUUUGUGGAACCCC